CCUACGGGAGGCAGCAGUGGGGAAUAUUGCACAAUGGGGGAAACCCUGAUGCAGCGACGCCGCGUGAAGGAAGAAGUAUUUCGGUAUGUAAACUUCUAUCAGCAGGGAAGAAAAUGACGGUACCUGACUAAGAAGCACCGGCUAACUACGUGCCAGCAGCCGCGGUAAUACGUAGGGGGCAAGCGUUAUCCGGAUUUACUGGGUGUAAAGGGAGCGUAGGCGGUUCAGCAAGUCGGAAGUGAAAGCCCGGGGCCCAACCCCGGGACUGCUUUUGAAACUGGUUAACUAGAUUGCAGGAGAGGGAGGUGGAAUUCCCGGUGUAGCGGUGAAAUGCGUAGAUAUUAGGAGGAACACCAGUGGCGAAGGCGGCUUACUGGACUAUAAAUGACGCUGAGGCGCGAAAGCGUGGGGAGCAAACAGGAUUAGAUACCCGUGUAGUC
Molecule: ribosomal RNA, 440 nt
Filed under: uncultured bacterium
Lineage: Bacteria
Description: partial 16S ribosomal RNA
Rfam family: Bacterial small subunit ribosomal RNA
Source: RNAcentral